This 721-nucleotide ribosomal RNA is filed under the name Helianthus verticillatus. RNAcentral describes it as "eukaryotic LSU rRNA". Lineage: Eukaryota; Viridiplantae; Streptophyta; Magnoliopsida; Asterales; Asteraceae. The record is from RNAcentral.
GGKHCUGCGGAAGGAUCAUUGUCGAACCCUGCAUAGCAGAAUGACCCGUGAACAAGUUAACACAUCUGGCCUUGCCGGGACCGAAGCAUUUGUUUCGGCCCUUGUGAGUCCUUGUCGACGUGUGUUCAUGCAUGGACCAUACCUUUGGUUUGUCAUGGAUGUCAUGUUGACAAAAUAACAAACCCCCGGCACGAGAUGUGCCAAGGAAAACCAAAAUUAAAGAACCCGUGCUGUUGCGCCCCGUUCGCGGUGUGCGCGCUGUUCGUGGCGUCUUUGUAAACUUAAAACGACUCUCGGCAACGGAUAUCUCGGCUCACGCAUCGAUGAAGAACGUAGCAAAAUGCGAUACUUGGUGUGAAUUGCAGAAUCCCGUGAACCAUCGAGUUUUUGAACGCAAGUUGCGCCCGAAGCCAUCCGGUUGAGGGCACGUCUGCCUGGGCGUCACGCAUCACGUCGCCCCCACCAGGCAUCCCCUAUAGGGCUGUCUUUUGUUGGGGCGGAGAUUGGUCUCCCAUGCCCAUGGCGUGGUUGGCCUAAAUAGGAGUCUCCUCACGAGGGACGCACGGCUAGUGGUGGUUGAUAAGACAGUCGUCUCGUGUCGUGCGUUUACUUUCUUGAGAGUAGAUGCUCUUAAAGUACCCCGAUGUGUUGUCUUAUGACGAUGCUUCGAUCGCGACCCCAGGUCAGGCGGGACUACCCGCUGAGUUUAAGCAUAUCAUAA